Molecule: ribosomal RNA, 253 nt
Filed under: uncultured bacterium
Lineage: Bacteria
Description: partial 16S ribosomal RNA
Rfam family: Bacterial small subunit ribosomal RNA
Source: RNAcentral
UACAGAGGGUGCGAGCGUUAAUCGGAAUUACUGGGCGUAAAGCGCGCGUAGGCGGCUUUGCAAGUCGGGUGUGAAAUCCCCAGGCCUAACCUGGGAACUGCAUUCGAGACUGCAUGGCUAGAGUAUCGGAGAGGGAAGUGGAAUUUCAGGUGUAGCGGUGAAAUGCGUAGAUAUCUGAAGGAACAUCAGUGGCGAAGGCGGCUCACUGGCCCGGUACUGACGCUGAGACGCGAAAGCGUGGGGAGCGAACAGG